Molecule: long non-coding RNA, 1075 nt
Filed under: Vigna radiata
Lineage: Eukaryota; Viridiplantae; Streptophyta; Magnoliopsida; Fabales; Fabaceae
Description: long non-coding RNA (VRAD_LNC003567)
Source: RNAcentral
GACGAUGCGUGCGAUCACACAUGCGCUAGAAUCCUUAAAAUAUAUUUUUAAUUUUUAUUUAUAGAAAAGAAGGGGUUUUCUAGCACAAGGACGAUGCGUGCGAUCACACAUGUGCUAGACCCCUUAAAACAUAUUUUUGGUAUUUUUAUAAAAGAAGAAGAAAAGGUGUCCAGCACAAGGACGAUGCGUGCGAUCACACAUGCGCUGGACCCUUUGAAAAUAUUUUUUUUAAUUUUUAUUUAUAGAAAAGAAAGGGUUUUCUAGCACAAGGACGAUGUGUGCGAUCACACAUGUGCUAGACCCCUUGAAACAUAUUUUUGGUAUUUUUAUAAAAGAAGAAGAAAAGGUGUCCAGCACAAGGACGAUGCGUGCGAUCACACAUGCGCUGAACCCUUUGAAAAUAUUUUUUUUUAAUUUAAUUUGAUUUUUAUAUAUUUUAUUUAUUAUUUUUUUUUUUAAAAGAAAGUUUGUGUAUAGUAAAAAUGGAGGUGCAACUAAUAAAAUAAGAGCAAACCCAAACAUAAAAAGACAAUAAAAGUGUGGUGUGGGUGUUACAAAGAUAGGUGCAGGAAGUAAAACAUAAACAAAGAAAAGUCCAAUAAACAAUAGGGUGCAGAAAUCGAAACCAGGGUGUGCAACUGGAUCUUUUGCUGACCAAGCCUAAGACCCCUUUUUCGUUUUUAUUUGCAGAAUUGGAUUGGGAGUGCGAAUGGGAAUGCAAGUGGUGGCGGGCAAAAAAGGUUCAGUCCAAACAGAAGGGGUGCAACUGUGAAGAUUAGGGUGCAGGAAACGAAAUGGGCCCAAUGUCCAAAUCCCUUUUUUUUUUACUAUAGAAAUGAAAUGGGGUUGCGCAUAGAGACACGCAAGGUGACAGGCAGAGAGAAAACAGCGCAGAAGCUAGGCCCAAAGCCUUCUCAUUCAUCAGUUUAGGAGGGGUUCUCCCAUUUUUCCCCUCAUUCCAACACUUCGAAGAAAACCAGAAGCCUAGGGCUGUCUCCCUCUCCCUCCGCCGAUGACACUAGCAACCUCCCAAGGCCACCAUCUUCACCACUCGACUUCAUCGCCACGGAUCGCC